UGCGUAGGCGGCCGGUUAAGUAGGGUGUGAAAUGUCUCGGCUCAACCGAGGAAUUGCGCUCUAAACUGAUCGGCUCGAGUAAGAUAGGGGUGUGCGGAACUUCCAGUGGAGCGGUGAAAUGUGUUGAUAUUGGAAGGAACGCCGGUGGCGAAAGCGGCACACUGGGUCUUAACUGACGCUGAGGCACGAAAGCCAGGGGAGCGAACG
Molecule: ribosomal RNA, 207 nt
Filed under: uncultured bacterium
Lineage: Bacteria
Description: partial 16S ribosomal RNA
Rfam family: Bacterial small subunit ribosomal RNA
Source: RNAcentral